Long non-coding RNA from Vicia villosa (hairy vetch), 227 nucleotides. RefSeq lists it as uncharacterized. The transcript has 3 exons. The record is from RefSeq and is a predicted model, not a curated record. NCBI's taxonomy places the organism in Eukaryota, Viridiplantae, Streptophyta, Magnoliopsida, Fabales, Fabaceae.
AGUCAUCUUUCUAUCUCCAGUCGCCAUCUCACCAUCUCUGCGUUCAGCCACCACAUUGUUCAUCAUCGUCGCCACGUUGUGUUUUCUUUUGGAAUUGGAAGCCAAAUCAAUCGACCCCUACAAGGUUCUUGGGGUUGAUAAAACUGCCAGUCAACGAGAAAUUAAGAAGGCUUUUCACAAACUCUCUCUUCAAUAUCACCCUGAUAAGAACAAAGCCAAAGGUGCAC